GUCCACGCCCUAAACGGUGGGCACUAGGUGUAGGGCUCGUAAGGGUUCUGUGCCGAAGGGAAACCAUUAAGUGCCCCGCCUGGGGGAGUACGGCCGCAAGGUUGAAACUCAAAAGGAAUUGACGGGGGCCCGCACAAGCGGUGGAGCAUGUGGUUUAAUUCGACGCAACGCGAAGAACCUUACCUGGGCUUGACAUGUGAGUGGUAGGAAACUGAAAAAGGGACCGACCCGUAGCAAAUACGGGAGCUCAUGCAGGUGCUGCAUGGCUGUCGU
Molecule: ribosomal RNA, 273 nt
Filed under: uncultured bacterium
Lineage: Bacteria
Description: partial 16S ribosomal RNA
Rfam family: Bacterial small subunit ribosomal RNA
Source: RNAcentral